Long non-coding RNA from Octopus sinensis (East Asian common octopus), 95 nucleotides. RefSeq lists it as uncharacterized. The record is from RefSeq and is a predicted model, not a curated record. Lineage: Eukaryota; Metazoa; Mollusca; Cephalopoda; Octopoda; Octopodidae. The transcript has 3 exons.
ACGACGACGAGGAAGAAGAAAAGGAUAAGAAAAAUGCGGGAGUGGUAUGACAGUAGUAGGAUGUUGGUAGAAUCCUCUUAAAUGGUCAAGUGACC